CGGCGUGCUUAACACAUGCAAGUCGAACGGAAAGGCCCUGCUUUUGUGGGGUGCUCGAGUGGCGAACGGGUGAGUAACACGUGAGUAACCUGCCCUUGACUUUGGGAUAACUUCAGGAAACUGGGGCUAAUACCGGAUAGGAGCUCCUGCUGCAUGGUGGGGGUUGGAAAGUUUCGGCGGUUGGGGAUGGACUCGCGGCUUAUCAGCUUGUUGGUGGGGUAGUGGCUUACCAAGGCUUUGACGGGUAGCCGGCCUGAGAGGGUGACCGGCCACAUUGGGACUGAGAUACGGCCCAGACUCCUACGGGAGGCAGCAGUGGGGAAUAUUGCACAAUGGGCGGAAGCCUGAUGCAGCAACGCCGCGUGCGGGAUGACGGCCUUCGGGUUGUAAACCGCUUUCGCCUGUGACGAAGCGUGAGUGACGGUAAUGGGUAAAGAAGCACCGGCUAACUACGUGCCAGCAGCCGCGGUGAUACGUAGGGUGCGAGCGUUGUCCGGAUUUAUUGGGCGUAAAGGGCUCGUAGGUGGUUGAUCGCGUCGGAAGUGUAAUCUUGGGGCUUAACCCUGAGCGUGCUUUCGAUACGGGUUGACUUGAGGAAGGUAGGGGAGAAUGGAAUUCCUGGUGGAGCGGUGGAAUGCGCAGAUAUCAGGAGGAACACCAGUGGCGAAGGCGGUUCUCUGGGCCUUUCCUGACGCUGAGGAGCGAAAGCGUGGGGAGCGAACAGGCUUAGAUACCCUGGUAGUCCACGCUGUAAACGGUGGGUACUAGGUGUGGGGUCCAUUCCACGGGUUCCGUGCCGUAGCUAACGCUUUAAGUACCCCGCCUGGGGAGUACGGCCGCAAGGCUAAAACUCAAAGGAAUUGACGGGGCCCCGCACAAGCGGCGGAGCAUGCGGAUUAAUUCGAUGCAACGCGUAGAACCUUACCUGGGUUUGACAUGGAUCGGGAGUGCUCAGAGAUGGGUGUGCCUCUUUUGGGGUCGGUUCACAGGUGGUGCAUGGCUGUCGUCAGCUCGUGUCGUGAGAUGUUGGGUUAAGUCCCGCAACGAGCGCAACCCUUGUUCACUGUUGCCAGCACGUUAUGGUGGGGACUCAGUGGAGACCGCCGGGGUCAACUCGGAGGAAGGUGGGGAUGACGUCAAGUCAUCAUGCCCCUUAUGUCCAGGGCUUCACGCAUGCUACAAUGGCUGGUACAGAGAGUGGCGAGCCUGUGAGGGUGAGCGAAUCUCGGAAAGCCGGUCUCAGUUCGGAUUGGGGUCUGCAACUCGACCUCAUGAAGUCGGAGUCGCUAGUAAUCGCAGAUCAGCAACGCUGCGGUGAAUACGUUCCCGGGGCUUGUACACACCGCCCGUCAAGUCAUGAAAGUUGGUAACACCCGAAGCCGGUGGCCUAACCGUUGUGGGGGAGCCGUCGAAGGUGGGACUGGUGAU
RNAcentral lists this ribosomal RNA (1428 nucleotides) under uncultured organism. Its description in RNAcentral is "16S ribosomal RNA". It matches the Rfam family "Bacterial small subunit ribosomal RNA". The record is from RNAcentral.